RNAcentral lists this ribosomal RNA (497 nucleotides) under uncultured bacterium. RNAcentral describes it as "partial 16S ribosomal RNA". It matches the Rfam family "Bacterial small subunit ribosomal RNA", at positions 28 to 507 of the family's 1533-position model. The record is from RNAcentral.
GACGAACGCUGGCGGCGUGCCUAAUACAUGCCAGUUGAGCGAUGAAGCUUGGUGCUUGCCCCAAUUUGAAGAGCAGCGAACGGGUGAGUAACGCGUGGGGAAUCUGCCUUUGAGCGGGGGACAACAUUUGGAAACGAAUGCUAAUACCGCAUAACAACUUUAAACAUAAGUUUUAAGUUUGAAAGAUGCAAUUGCAUCACUCAAAGAUGAUCCCGCGUUGUAUUAGCUAGUUGGUGAGGUAAAGGCUCACCAAGGCGAUGAUACAUAGCCGACCUGAGAGGGUGAUCGGCCACAUUGGGACUGAGACACGGCCCAAACUCCUACGGGAGGCAGCAGUAGGGAAUCUUCGGCAAUGGACGAAAGUCUGACCGAGCAACGCCGCGUGAGUGAAGAAGGGUUUCGGAUCGUAAAACUCUGUUGGUAGAGAAGAACGUUGGUGAGAGUGGAAAGCUCAUCAAGUGACGGUAACUACCCAGAAAGGGACGGCUAACUACGUG